Molecule: long non-coding RNA, 215 nt
Filed under: Gallus gallus (chicken)
Lineage: Eukaryota; Metazoa; Chordata; Aves; Galliformes; Phasianidae
Source: RNAcentral
CCGGUGAUUGGAUCUGUGGUCAAGUAAUACUUAUGAGCUGGGCUGUGGCUUAGUUCCAGUAUGUUGGUGACAUUGCCAGAGGGAAAGAUUCUUCGGAUGUAGUUGAAAUCUCCAACGUAAAGACUUCCAUCAGAUCCACAUGUUAGGGCAACAGGAGCCAGGAGUUUGUUCCCAUCUGCAAGACCAUUGCAGCUUGGACACGAAAUGCUACGUCU